RNAcentral lists this long non-coding RNA (390 nucleotides) under Gossypium barbadense (sea-island cotton). RNAcentral describes it as "long non-coding RNA (GBAR_LNC020049)". The record is from RNAcentral. Lineage: Eukaryota; Viridiplantae; Streptophyta; Magnoliopsida; Malvales; Malvaceae.
GGCUAACAAAAUUCAGCUGAUUAGGAGCUUGAAUGGGACAGCUUAAAACUUAAGUAAAUGUACUUAAAAAGAUGAAUGCAUCAGGAGACCAAUAGUCAUGUCUAGAUUCAGCCAUGACUCCUUAAAUUGGCAUCCUUUGGCUGAAUAGUGAUGAGCAUUAAAGGUGGUCUUUGAACAGCCAAAUGAGUGUGAAAAGUCAUCCUUGAAGAGUCUUCUAGGUGUGAACACGUUCAGCUGAUUGGUCUUUGGUGUGAACACCAAAUGUGAACGGUAUGAUGCUGUUUUGGGAAAUGGAUCAGCCAAACUUAGAAAAUUCAUGGGGCUGCUGUUCCUUGGCCGAAUGGUCACUUGGAAGAAAGAAAAUAGCAGCUUAAUCCUUUUAAUUACCAU